AACGAACGCUGGCGGCAUGCCUAACACAUGCAAGUCGAACGACACCUCCGUGUCUAGUGGCGCUCGGGUGCGUCGCGCGUGGGAACGUUCACGUAGGUUCCGGAUACCUCUCCUACGGGGGUGCUAAUGCAGGAUAAUUUAUUCUGACAAAGGAUUUAUCGCCCUUGGGUGGGCCGGCGUUGGUUUAGCUUGUUGGUAGGGUAAAAGCCUAUCAAGGCUUAGAUCGAUAGCUGGUCAGAGAGACAGAGCCGCCACACUGGGACUGGGACACGGCCCAGACUCCUACGCGAGGCAGCAGUGCGGAAUACAGGCAUACCGGCUAAGGCAUGAUCCAGCAAGGCCGCGUGAGUGAUGAAGGCGGUAGGGAUGUACAGCUCGUUUACCCGGGACGAUAAUGACAGUACCGGGAGAAUAAGCUCCGGCUAACUCCGUG
This 433-nucleotide ribosomal RNA is filed under the name uncultured bacterium. RNAcentral describes it as "partial 16S ribosomal RNA". It matches the Rfam family "Bacterial small subunit ribosomal RNA", at positions 29 to 507 of the family's 1533-position model. The record is from RNAcentral.